GGGGUUGUAGCUCAGAGGUAAAGCACUUGCCUACCAUGCAUGAGGCACUGGGUUUGAUCCUCAGCACCACA
RNAcentral lists this transfer RNA (71 nucleotides) under Marmota monax (woodchuck). Its description in RNAcentral is "tRNA.Gly". It matches the Rfam family "tRNA". From Rfam's summary of the family: Transfer RNA (tRNA) molecules are approximately 80 nucleotides in length. Lineage: Eukaryota; Metazoa; Chordata; Mammalia; Rodentia; Sciuridae. The record is from RNAcentral.